This 380-nucleotide ribosomal RNA is filed under the name uncultured bacterium. RNAcentral's name for it is "bacterial SSU rRNA". It matches the Rfam family "Bacterial small subunit ribosomal RNA", at positions 28 to 404 of the family's 1533-position model. The record is from RNAcentral.
GAUGAACGCUAGCGGCAGGCUUAACACAUGCAAGUCGAGGGGCAGCACGAUGUAGCAAUACAUGGGUGGCGACCGGCGCACGGGUGCGUAACACGUAUGGAAUCUGCCCUUUACUGGAGGAUAGCCCGGAGAAAUCCGGAUUAAUACUCCAUAACAAGCGAGGUGGCAUCAUCUUGCUUUGAAAGCUCCGGCGGUAAAGGAUGACCAUGCGCACGAUUAGCUAGUUGGUGAGGUAACGGCUCACCAAGGCUACGAUCGUUAGGGGGCCUGAGAGGGUUAUCCCCACACUGGUACUGAGACACGGACCAGACUCCGUACGGGAGGCAGCAGUGAGGAAUAUUGCGCAAUGGAGGCAACUCUGACGCAGCCAUGCCGCGUGC